UACCGCACCUGUUUGUCUGCGUUUC
This 25-nucleotide non-coding RNA is filed under the name Rattus norvegicus (Norway rat). Lineage: Eukaryota; Metazoa; Chordata; Mammalia; Rodentia; Muridae. The record is from RNAcentral.